AGAGUUUGAUCAUGGCUCAGGAUGAACGCUGGCGGCGUGCCUAACACAUGCAAGUUGAGCGAUUCUCUUCGGAGAAGAGCGGCGGACGGGUGAGUAACGCGUGGGUAACCUGCCCUGUACACACGGAUAACAUACCGAAAGGUAUGCUAAUACGAGAUAAUAUACUUUUAUCGCAUGGUAGAAGUAUCAAAGCUUUUGCGGUACAGGAUGGACCCGCGUCUGAUCAGCUAGUUGGUAAGGUAACGGCUUACCAAGGCGACGAUCAGUAGCCGACCUGAGAGGGUGAUCGGCCACAUUGGAACUGAGACACGGUCCAAACUCCUACGGGAGGCAGCAGUGGGGAAUAUUGCACAAUGGGCGAAAGCCUGAUGCAGCAACGCCGCGUGAGCGAUGAAGGCCUUCGGGUCGUAAAGCUCUGUCCUCAAGGAAGAUAAUGACGGUACUUGAGGAGGAAGCCCCGGCUAACUACGUGCCAGCAGCCGCGGUAAUACGUAGGGGGCUAGCGUUAUCCGGAAUUACUGGGCGUAAAGGGUGCGUAGGUGGUUUCUUAAGUCAGAGGUGAAAGGCUACGGCUCAACCGUAGUAAGCCUUUGAAACUGGGAAACUUGAGUGCAGGAGAGGAGAGUGGAAUUCCUAGUGUAGCGGUGAAACGCGUAGAUAUUAGGAGGAACACCAGUUGCGAAGGCGGCUCUCUGGACUGUAACUGACACUGAGGCACGAAAGCGUGGGGAGCAAACAGGAUUAGAUACCCUGAUAGUCCACGCCGUAAACGAUGAGUACUAGCUGUCGGAGGUUACCCCCUUCGGUGGCGCAGCUAACGCAUUAAGUACUCCGCCUGGGGAGUACGCUCGCAGAGUGAAACUCAAAGGAAUUGACGG
RNAcentral lists this ribosomal RNA (878 nucleotides) under uncultured bacterium. Its description in RNAcentral is "bacterial SSU rRNA". It matches the Rfam family "Bacterial small subunit ribosomal RNA", at positions 8 to 916 of the family's 1533-position model. The record is from RNAcentral.